GUGUGAGCCAUCUCUAAGUGCUGGGAUGAGGGUGUGAGCCAUCUCUAAGUGCUGGGAUGGGGGGUGUGAGCCAUCUCUAAGUGCUGGGAUGAGGUGUGAGCCAUCUCUAAGUGCUGGGAUGAGGUGUGAGCCAUCUCUAAGUGCUGGGAUGAGGGGUGAGUCAUCUCUAAGUGCUGGGAUGAGGGUGUGAGCCAUCUCUAAGUGCUGGGAUGAGGGUGUGAGCCAUCUCUAAGUGCUGGGAUGAGGGUGUGAGCCAUCUCUAAGUGCUGGGAUGAGGGUGUGAGCCAUCUCUAAGUGCUGAGAUGAGGGUGUGAGCCAUCUCUAAGUGCUGAGAUGAGGUGUGAGCCAUCUCUAAGUGCUGGGAUGGGGGUGUGAGCCAUCUCUAAGUGCUGGGAUGAGGGUGUGAGCCAUCUCUAAGUGCUGGGAUGAGGGUGUGAGCCAUCUCUAAGUGCUGGGAUGGGGGUGUGAGCCAUCUCUAAGUGCUGGGAUGAGGUGUGAGCCAUCUCUAAGUGCUGAGAUGAGGGUGUGAGCCAUCUCUAAGUGCUGGGAUGAGGUGUGAGCCAUCUCUAAGUGCUGGGAUGAGGGUGUGAGCCAUCUCUAAGUGCUGGGAUGAGGGUGUGAGCCAUCUCUAAGUGCUGGGAUGAGGGUGUGAGCCAUCUCUAAGUGCUGGGAUGAGGGUGUGAGCCAUCUCUAAGUGCUGGGAUGAGGGUGUGAGCCAUCUCUAAGUGCUGGGAUGAGGGUGUGAGCCAUCUCUAAGUGCUGAGAUGAGGUGUGAGCCAUCUCUAAGUGCUGGGAUGAGGUGUGAGCCAUCUCUAAGUGCUGAGAUGAGGUGUGAGCCAUCUCUAAGUGCUGGGAUGAGGGUGUGAGCCAGCACACCUGGCUUAUGCUGUGCUCAGGCUCAAACACGGGGCUUUCUGCAUGCUAGACAGACACUCUGUUAAUGG
Molecule: long non-coding RNA, 944 nt
Organism: Apodemus sylvaticus (European woodmouse)
Lineage: Eukaryota; Metazoa; Chordata; Mammalia; Rodentia; Muridae
Exons: 7
Source: RefSeq, a predicted model, not a curated record